This 151-nucleotide ribosomal RNA is filed under the name Escherichia coli. RNAcentral describes it as "partial 16S ribosomal RNA". It matches the Rfam family "Bacterial small subunit ribosomal RNA", at positions 1395 to 1533 of the family's 1533-position model. RNAcentral also lists the same sequence under 3 other names. The record is from RNAcentral. Lineage: Bacteria; Pseudomonadati; Pseudomonadota; Gammaproteobacteria; Enterobacterales; Enterobacteriaceae.
CGUCACACCAUGGGAGUGGGUUGCAAAAGAAGUAGGUAGCUUAACCUUCGGGAGGGCGCUUACCACUUUGUGAUUCAUGACUGGGGUGAAGUCGUAACAAGGUAACCGUAGGGGAACCUGCGGUUGGAUCACCUCCUUACCUUAAAGAAGC